AAACAGUGUGAGGACCUGACUCGGCAAGAUCUGGGGCCAGGGGAACUCUCUCAUCUCUCUUCGGAGACCUGUGGAGCAGUUCCUUGCUAUUGCUGCUUUACUGGUCCAAAUUGGUUUUGUCGGGUUUUUCGGCGCUCGAGAGGCAGAGUCUCAAGGAACCGACUGUCUUUCAGGAAGAAGAUACUUGCAAGCUUCUCCCCCACCUCGGUGGGGUCUUGAGUCGCGUGUGACUUUUUCUACUUGAUUCAAUGGACAGUGGGUUGUUGCCGUCGGAUUUAUUCGAAGGUUGAGACAGAAGCAGCCCUGUCGACAGGUACCUAGAGGAAGCAGAAUGCGUGUUCCUUGAGUUCUUGGGUCUCAGUUAGUUCUGGGUCCUGAUUGAGCUCGGUCACCUUUGUGCCAUUCUGCCGCGGUAUAUUCCUAAACGCUGUGUAGGCCCUAUGGGCCAGUUAUCAUUUGGGUAAAACCAUACCGCUGACAUUU
This is a small nucleolar RNA of 483 nucleotides. It matches the Rfam family "Small nucleolar RNA snR30".